RNAcentral lists this ribosomal RNA (333 nucleotides) under uncultured eukaryote. Its description in RNAcentral is "SSU rRNA". It matches the Rfam family "Eukaryotic small subunit ribosomal RNA", at positions 587 to 972 of the family's 1831-position model. The record is from RNAcentral.
AGCUCUGAUGGCGUAUAUUUAAGUUGUUGCAGUUAAAAAGCUCGUAGUUGGCGCGAUAUGUCUGCUUAGCCGUCUCUUACCAGAGCGCAACGCAGGCACGGGCUCUUUGAGCCUCUGUUACUUUGAGAAAAUUUGAGUGUUUCAGGCGGGCAAGUGCUGAUAAAUUGUACCAUGGAAUGACAAAGUGGCAGUCUUUCUCUUUCUUCGGUCUUGGAAAGACUGUGCGUGGUUGAUAGGAACAGUCGGGGGCAUUCGUAUUGAACAGUCAGAGGUGAAAUUCUGAGAUUUGUUCAAGACGAACUAAUGCGAAAGCAUCUGUCAAGGAUGUUUUCA